GUGUCAGGGGCAGCUGCUGGAAGGAGGCGCAAGCACCACGGAGAGUCUGGGAUGCCCAGCCAAGGAGCCCUGGAAGGGUUGCCCUGGGGACUGACACUGUGGGCUCUGUGUUUUAGCCAAGUCACCCAGGCAGCUGAACAGAAGAUGGACUGGAGGGAGAAGCCUGGAUGUAGGAUCGCUCAGCAACAAAGGAGCCAGAAAAGGCAAGGUGUACACACCGUGUGCAGCAUGGGCGAGCUGCAGGCAUGCAGGUAAGAGUGUGUGCAUGCAGGUGUGUGCACACGAGUUUGCAUGUGCUGAUGCAGAUGGCUAUGAUGCGUGGUGGUGAUAUAUACAUGUGGAUGCUUAUGGAUCUGUGCCAACCAUUAUUAAGCACAUAUGUAUACCCGUGUGUGUAUAUGCAUGCAUGUGUUUGUGUGAGUUGCAAUGUGUAUACAACUUUACACAAUAAGUGAAUUGAGUACAUGUACCUGUUUAUCCACGGAAGUGUAUGAUGACUGGACAUAUGUAAAUAUGUGUAUUUGCAUGUGUUUAUACUUUGUGCAUAGAUGCAUGUUUGUGUAUUUAUGCUGAUCCAUUUAAGCGUAUGGGAUGUGUGUGGAUGUUUGUGUAACAUCUGUACAUACUCCAUAGGUGCAUCUUAAUACAGGAAUAUGGGUGCGAUGUGUAUGUGUGUGUGUGUGCCUGUGUGAACAGGUGCGGCUGGAGGUCUAUGAGUGUGUGGAUAGGUAUAUUUGCCUGUGCGCAUGUGCGAUUCACGUGGUGUGAGUGCACAUGGUCGCAGGCAAAUGUCUGUGUGGGCACACACAUGCCCUGUUGCCCUUUUCUGUCUUUUCCUGUUGGGAAAUUACAGAACUUCUGAGUCCUAACCAUGGCUGGUGGCUCUUCCAGGAACAUGGUUUCCUGGACCCAAAAGGUAAGCUUGUCAGGGACCCACGUGAAUGAGGAAGUGGGUGGGCCUGAGUCUGGGGCUCCUCUGAGAACUGCUGUGGACCAGGGAAAUCUUGCUGCCACCUCUGGUCUUUAGUCCACCUCUCAGUAGUAGCUUUCAAAGCUUGAUUUUUUUGGAGGCGUCUCCACGGAGCAUAGUCCUAAGCUCCUAGCCUACAUUGUCCCUGUUCCUGGGCCUGUUUGGUUGACAUUCUCUUACAGUUUAAAAAAGACAUCCACAUCCGUACUCUUAGCUAAUCCUUGUGACCUUUCUUCUAGUCUGUUUGGAGAGGCUGGGAGCAGAGUGGUUAAAAGAGCCAGGCCUGGUUCCAUUUCUGACCCCUCUUCUAGCUGAGCAACUUCCGCCUCUUCCAGCCUCCCUCACGGGAAUCACAGAUCACGUGAGAUGACACCCAUGAAGGGCUUGACUGGCAUCUGGCACAUGGUGAGGACUGCAAAAAUGUGGGCUAUUGUUUUUACUAUUAUCCCCAUUUUAUAGAUGAGGAAACUGAGGCUUGGAGAGGCUCUCUGCCUUUGUCAACCUGGAGAUGCUGGGAAGGAAGUGAGGCCCAUCCCACCUCAGAUGCCUGUCCUCUGUCGUCAGGAGCAUUCUCUUGUUCUUCCGGGCUUGGCCAAGCGGUGGUAAACCCCACAUGUGGUUCUGUGGUUGCCCACACAGUCCUAAAAAUAGCCAACAGGAACCCAGGGGCUCCCCCUUGGUGAGUGGCAGCAGGCCCAGUCCUCAGGCAGCCACCAACCUGCUCACUCCCCACAGGCAAGCAGGUCCUGUCUAGGAAGGGGCUGGGUGGCCUGGGUCCCAUGCAUGAUGAGCCAGAGGCUGUGCCAAGCUUAUAGCAAAUAUUAUUUUAUUUCAUUAUGUUUUCUUACAUCUGUGAUGUGGAGGCCAUAGCUCCACUGGACUCAUGAGGAGACUGAGGCUCAGAGCAAUGAAGUGACCUGCUCAAAGUUAAGGAGCUUCAGUUUGGACCCAAUUUGUUCUGAUCCUAAGGUCACUAUCCUUAAUCCCUCUCCCUGUGGGGUCUUCCCUAUCUUGAGCCUGUGGACAGCUGUGCAGUGGCAAGAAAAAGGCCUUCAGAGCUACGCAGACCUGGCUUCAAAUCCCAGCCUCCCUGAUGAGCCCUGGUGGUCUUGCAUGCUUGCCCUUGGGACUCAGACACCAUAUUGUGAGGAAGCCCAAGCUACAUGCAGAGGCCACUAUAGUUGUUCUGGCCAACAGCCCAAGCUUCAGCUGCCAGACAUAUAAAUAAACCAACUCUUCAAAUGAUUUCAGUUUCCAGACUUCAGUGCAUCCCAGGCCUCCCCACCUCUGGGCCUCAGCGCCUCUUCCAAUCUGGAGCAUGGAUUAGGCUGGAAUGAUUCCUAAGGUUGCAAAGAAGGCCUCCAUGUUUGUUCAAAGCACAAGUGAACAGAUUCCAGCUGCGAAGUCCCCAGACUUUGCUGUUGUCCAAGGAGUCCACACUCACCCUGCCUCACCAUCUAAUUAGUCACAUCCUAGGAUAAGGACACGGCCUGUCUGCUCCCGGCUCUCCCAUUCCCUCCCCCUGCCCCCUGCCCAGCGUCCUGGAGUUGGGGAGGAGUGGCUCACAGGCCUGGGAGACAUUUUUCCAACCUCAGGAUUACAGCCAGCUCCGCAGUAAACCCCAUCGGCCCCAGAGUGGGGGUGCAACAGCCCAGCCCAUCAGCAGACCCUGGAAUUCAGAAAGAAGCCAGCUGGCGCAGACAGAUGAUGACCUUUUAGACUUUCUUUACAAAGCACUGCACACCAUGGCAUGGAUCUUCCUUAGCACGGCCCUGUUGGAAGGUGGAACAGGUCACUGUGCAGAUGCAGAAACCAGGGCUCUAGGAGACAGGACAGAGCUUACCAAAGUCACUCAGCGAGUGGCAGAGGUGGCACUUCAACCUCAGCUCUGCCACAAAGCCCGUCCUCCAUGAAGACUUCUGAUAAGAGAUCCCUGCAGUUCCUCCAGAACUCACAUCCUACGCCAGGGCUUCCCCAGACAGAUGGGUGAGGUCAGAAAGAGGGGAAGGGCGGGACAGGCUGGGCAUGAGGAGCCGCGUGCCACCACCUGCACCAUGGUAAGAACCUCACCCUGCUCACCGGCCUUGGUGUGCACCUGAGGCCCUGCCUUGGUCCUCAAGGCCCUGGAUGGCCUAGUCUGGCUGGCUCUCCAGCCUCUUCUCUCCUCUCUGUCUCUCUCUCUCUUUUUUUUU
RNAcentral lists this long non-coding RNA (3162 nucleotides) under Homo sapiens (human). Its description in RNAcentral is "HSALNT0363913". The record is from RNAcentral. Lineage: Eukaryota; Metazoa; Chordata; Mammalia; Primates; Hominidae.